RNAcentral lists this long non-coding RNA (205 nucleotides) under Mustela putorius furo (domestic ferret). RNAcentral describes it as "lncRNA (ENSMPUG00000025240.1)". The record is from RNAcentral. Lineage: Eukaryota; Metazoa; Chordata; Mammalia; Carnivora; Mustelidae.
AAGCCUUGUCCCUUAACAUUAGCAGGCUGAAGAUUUUAAUCAAGCGAGAGUUCAUUGCAUGCUGUGCCCAUUUCUACACACGCCCAACAGUCCAGCUACACGGGAGACACAUUUUCUAUGCUGGUGCUCCAUACAUGUCUGUUGGCUGACGGAUACAGAAAUGUUCCAAAUAUACUGUUUCUCUUUGAGAUUCAGUUUGCUGGUG